UCUCCCUCACGGCUUGCCCCAAGCACACGCAGGGCCCGCAGGCCACCGAAGAAGUCCUCAAGGGGACACUGGACAGCUGCCUCGAAGAAAGGAAAACUUCGUUGGAAGAGAGGGACAGUUGGAGAGCAGAGGUUUGUGCGUUAUCUUAGCAAGCCGAGCUCAAUGAAACAGGCUGGAAAGCUCUGAGGAUUCUGUGAGGACUCCUACAUGGAGGUCAGGGAUGCGGAAGGCUCCGUAUUGCUGUUCCAUAUGCCUGUUUGCCCUUCCUAUUAGAAGGCUGGAGAUAUAAUUAGGAGACAAGCACCACAGAUGCUGCAGUUUACAAUAACCAGAAGAAACCACCGAAACGGGCAAACACAAACCCAAGUCAUCAGAAGAAGCGCUUCUGUUAUGUCAAACCAAAUGGGACACCCAAAGGGAGUGACGAUGGUGCCUCAGCAGAGAAGGUUCCAUUGCCCAGAAGAGACAUGGCCAACGCGUGCUUCGCUCUGCUGUGCAGCCUGAGCCCUGUGAUUUCAUUUCUCUCCAAAUGCUCAUCAUUUUCCUUCCUUUUUUUUUUUUUUUUGUACAGUUGGCUGUUUAUGCUUUUUACACCCACUGCACUGUGAGCCCCUGGAGAACAAAACUUGGGCAUCAUUCAUCCUUAUAUCCCCAGAACCAGAAAAAGCCUGCUCCUCCUUAAGGCUGCUACAUGGCCCAGCUCCAGGGGUCCCACGGCCAUGGGUGUCGGUGUGCAGCACAGGGUUUCACCACCGAGCAGGUGAUCAAUGAGGGGUGACAAAGGCAUGGUCCUCUCCAGCCAGCCAGCUUCCAAGAAGUUCUUUGUCACAACUGACAUCUCCCUCCUCUGGGUUCUCAGGGUGCUCUACUUGAUGCCUCCCUUUCCCCAUCCCUGCUCUUCACCAUGCGCUCUUCACAGUCCCAGGGACCAGCUGAUACUCAUGCCUAGAGCUGUUUAUGCCCAUGCUGGCUUUCCCUUAAGGUUCCUUGUAGUGGCCUGGUCAAGUGAUGCGGGUACGUAUUUUGAACAAAAUAAUGUGAUUCUUUUCUAAAGAAGAUUUCCGUAUGUCAUGGCUUAUACAUCUUUUACAUGUAAUCAAUGCUCAGUGAUGUCUUGUCAUCCCUGUUGAUUCCUUUAUCCCCUCCCUGAAACUGCGGGAGCAGCACGGUGCUGGGCUCCUCGGUCCGGGCUGUGAAUGGUUUCCUGAUGGUGAUGGGGCCUCUCUGCAUGCUGCCACAGGAAAUGGGGCAGAGUUCCCACAUCGUGGAGGAUACAUCUCUUCAUGGGAAGAGAAAAACUGUAGUUCUGCAUUCCAGCUCCUGGGCUGUUCACACCAGCUAUUUUGGGGAAGGGGGAAGCCAGUCUCACAACACUUUCCCCAGAGAAAAGAUGCCAAUGUCAAUGUCAGCCAUUAGGAAACGUCAUUAAAGCAGAUGAGAAACGGGCUGUGGACAUUUUUAUGAGCCCAGAAUACUCUGGUUGGAGAUUUUAUGGAGACCACAGGAAACCAGAGAGACAAUGACAUUCAUACCCUUUUUUAGAGUCUGGUAAGGAGCAAUUUUUGUGUAUGUGUGCUCAACAGGGUAUGUUUUUGAGAGGGAAAGCUACUGUUGGAGGCCAUGUCAAAGCAAGCCUUAUUCAGAGAACUUGUGGAUCCGUUAGCUAUAGAAUGCUCCAGGCCAAGUAGCUGUGGGCUCAAAGCCCAAAUCCUUCCAGAAUUGCAAAGAAAACCCUUCCUUUUGAUUCCAGGAUACUCUGGAACGCUGUUCUGCAUAAGUCUCUAUGGUUGCAACAGUCUACCUGUCAUUCUCUUCUAUAUAUUCAUUUUCUUCUUUUUUCACAUGACACAAUGGGGCUCAGAAAGGUUGAGGAACUUAGACAAACACAGAAAUGGCCAGCAGUGGAAUCACAACUUGACGGUGCAUUUUCUCCAUUACCAUGUUGCCUCUUCACCCAGGCCCAGAGGUGCAGAUUUAAGGCAGGGAUAGGAAAAAGGCUGUGCCUGGAAAAUUGUCCCCAGUGAAGUUCCACCCCCCCAACCCCCAACCACCCUGGGUCUUUAUUUAGAUCUAGUAGCUCAGCAGAGGUAUUUUUCUCUGUAAAUCAGCCUUUAAGAUAUUGAGCCACACAAUGAAAUAGGAGGGAGGUGUGCAAAUUCCUGGCAGUUUGCUUUCUGCCUUUCCAGUAUUGCAAUUGUUUGUUUUCCUGGAGUCCUACAAGAGGGAAGGGGCAGAUUAUCCAGAAUAUUCCUGAAAUGCAGAGCUUUCCUAUUCAUACUGACAUCUUGUGGCAGUCGUGUAUUACUGCAGCAUGCAUUGCCUCGUGAGCCGAACAUUCAAUUUUACCAAUAUUUUUUCUUCCUCUUCCAUACAGUAAUCGGACCAGAAGUUACUAAGCACCUAGCAGGUGCCAGGCACUGUGCUAAGCACUUGGGGACAUUCAGACAUACUUACAGAAGAACGGUGGCCGAGACCGUAUCCGAAGCUAUUAUAGCAACACACCCCUGAUAAAUAAUAAGAUCUAGAAAUCAGUGAGCAUCUGCCAUGCGGGUUACCAGGCGCUCAGUAAUAACUGUACUAUCUGCUCUGCAUUUAUUAACCCAGUUAAUCUUCAUGAGGACCCUAUCUGGUGAGCAUCCUCACUCCCAUUUCAGAUUUGAGGAAACUGAAUCCAUGAGAAGUCAUUUAAAUGAUCCAAGUUUAAAAGCCUUGUAAGUAGGGAAGUUAGUUUUCAAACUCUGAUUUUCCGUAUCCCAAAGCCGGAGCUACACCAUUCUGUGAACAAAUAGCCGGGAGAGAGAGUGAUUCCAAUGGUGAGGUGGCAUUUGAGAAGGCAUUAAAGGAUGGCCAAGUUUAUUCUAUGCGAUUUAGGCCACGGAGAUAAUGGGUUAUCAGACCUUCCACAGGCCUAGUGGUUAAAGUCUGUUCAAUUUAAUUCAAUUCUCCAGUAACAACAACAAAAUAACAAAAAGCCCAGCUAUUAACAUCACUGUGUAUAUGCUUCAGCUAGUUUUCUUGUGCAAACUUAUAAAUAUGUGAAUAUGUAAACAACAACAACAUAAGAAUCAUACUGUAUGUGCUGCUUGGUAAUCUGCUUAUUUGAGCAAAUUUAUUAGAUUUCUACUGCUGUAUGCCAAAUUACCAGAAACUUAAUGACUUAAAACAACACUCAUUUAUCUCAGGGUUCUAGAGGUCAGAAGUCUGGGCAGGCUCAAAUGGGUUCUCUACAGACAGUACCCCAAGGGCACAGUCAAGGUAUCUUGGGGCUCUAAGGCAGAAUCCACUUCCAAGUUCAUUCAGCAGCAGUUAGUUCUUUGUAAUCAUAGGACUGAGGAUUGUAUGGUUCUGCUGGGUGCCGGCCAGAGAUCCCUUCUUCCUGCCUAGAAGCUGCUGUCAGGGCCUUGUCAGUGAGUUCUCCAUCUCAGCAAUGGAGAACCUCCUUCUCCGGGAGUCUCAGAAGCCUUUGAAUUUCCCUAACUUCCUCUGCUGCUACUAUCUGGAGAAAUCCCUUGAUAUUUAAAGGCCUCUUUUCAUCACGUGAGCCCCACUUGGAGGAUCUCCCCUAGUUUAAGAUUGACUGAUUAGUAACUUUAAUUACAUGGCAAACUUCCUUUGGCCAUUAAAUGGAAUAUAUCAUGGAAGUGCCACCCGGGGCCAUCUUGGAAUUCUGCCUACUGCAUUUAACAAGCAUUCUUUCUACACACAUUCAUUGAGGGUCUGCUACAUGCUAGAUUCUAAGCUUCAGAGCUACGACAGUGAACAAAUCAGAUAAAGGCUCAUGAAACACACCAGCAUUCUGAAAAGAGAAAAAGUUUCUAUAUCAUGGGAUAUGACUUUGCUUUUUUGUUUUUUUUUUUCCCACUGAUGGGACCGUGUAAUCCCAUUGUAUAAAUAAACCAUAAUUUAAGUAAAUAAUUCCAAAAUUGGACAAUUUAGGUUAUUUUCCAGGUUGCAUUUAUAAACAACACUGCAAUGGACAUUCUUUUGCACUGUUAUCAGUGACUGGUAAUAGAAUUUAUGGGUAAAAUGUAUGAUUUUGAUACAUAAUAUCAAAUUGUUUCUUGGAAAACCCAUACCAGCCAACAUUCCUGCCAAUUUUUUUCAUCUUUGUAAAUCUUUCUAGUGAGAUUGAACAUUUUAUCUUAUAUACAUAUAUGUAUCAUAUUUAUAACUUUUUAGAUUGUUCCUGGUCAAUCCUUUGUGAAUUUUUCCACUAGGAUUUUUUUUCCUUUUUAUCAUUUUAUUAGACAUUUAAAUAUUUAAUGUAUUAACUUCACUGUCUUACACAGUGCAGAUUUUAUCUUAGCUCAUUGUCUUGUCAUUUCAUUUAUGACAUCUUUUGAUAGAAGAGAUUUUUUUCAAUCUAAUUUAUUCAUGUCUUCCUUUAUGGCUGUGCUUUUGGAAUAAUGGUAAAGCCUUUCUCACCCCCUUAUGUAAGCAUGCACGUAUAUUUUCUUUGAAUUAAUUUUUCUUAUGGAAAUUUUUAGCUUGGCCCUAAAUUAAGGAUUUUAGGUUAUUUUUUCAAAAGUGUAACCAGUUGCUCUGCCAUUGUCCCAUGAAUACACCAAACAUUUCAACAUGUCUAUAAUGUGUACAAAUUCUUUGUUCUCUUCUGAACUUUCCAUACAGUUUGGCUGCUCUGGCUUUCCUGGAGGACCCCCACCCUGGCUCGAUUGUUAGAGCUUUAUGAUAUUUUGAGCUCAAUAAGCUAAGCCCUCCUUCGUUACUUUUAUUUAAACUAAAAGGCUUUAGAAACACAAUGAAUUAACUUCCUAUGUCCCUGUGUUCUUCUCUCAGCCCACAUCCACGCCCCAGUUAAAGAUGCCCUGGGAGGGACGCCUGGGUGGCUCAGUCAGUUCAGCGUCUGCCUUUGGCUUAGGUCAUGAUCCUGGGGUCCUGGGAUCGAG
This is a long non-coding RNA of Zalophus californianus (California sea lion), 4907 nucleotides long. RefSeq lists it as uncharacterized. The transcript has 3 exons. The record is from RefSeq and is a predicted model, not a curated record. NCBI's taxonomy places the organism in Eukaryota, Metazoa, Chordata, Mammalia, Carnivora, Otariidae.